GGUUGACCUCGGAUCAGGUAGGGAUACCCGCUGAACUUAAGCAUAUCAAUAAGCGGAGGAAAAGAAACCACAGGGAUUGCCUCAGUAACGGCGAGUGAAGCGGCAACAGCUCAAAUUUGAAAUCUGGCCCCUCCGGGGUCCGAGUUGUAAUUUGCAGAGGAUGCUUCGGGUUCGGCUCCGGUCUAAGUUCCUUGGAACAGGACGUCACAGAGGGUGAGAAUCCCGUACGUGACCGGCCGCCACGCCCGUGUGAAGCUCCUUCGACGAGUCGAGUUGUUUGGGAAUGCAGCUCAAAAUGGGUGGUAAAUUUCAUCUAAAGCUAAAUAUUGGCCAGAGACCGAUAGCGCACAAGUAGAGUGAUCGAAAGAUGAAAAGCACUUUGGAAAGAGAGUCAAACAGUACGUGAAAUUGUUGAAAGGGAAGCGCUUGCAAUCAGACUUGCCCGCGGGUGAUCAGCCGGUAUUCUUACCGGUGCACUCACCCGCGGUCAGGCCAGCAUCGGUUUGGGCGGCUGGACAAAAACCCCCGGAACGUAACUCCCCCCGGGGAGUGUUAUAGCCGGGGGUGCCAUGCAGCCCGCCCGGACCGAGGACCGC
RNAcentral lists this small RNA (596 nucleotides) under Acarospora sinopica. RNAcentral describes it as "eukaryotic LSU rRNA". It matches the Rfam family "Eukaryotic large subunit ribosomal RNA", at positions 1 to 598 of the family's 3401-position model. Lineage: Eukaryota; Fungi; Ascomycota; Lecanoromycetes; Acarosporales; Acarosporaceae. The record is from RNAcentral.